AGUGAACGCUGGCGGUAGGCCUAACACAUGCAAGUCGAACGGCAGCACAGUAAGAGCUUGCUCUUACGGGUGGCGAGUGGCGGACGGGUGAGGAAUACAUCGGAAUCUACUUUUUCGUGGGGGAUAACGUAGGGAAACUUACGCUAAUACCGCAUACGACCUACGGGUGAAAGCAGGGGAUCUUCGGACCUUGCGCGAUUGAAUGAGCCGAUGUCGGAUUAGCUAGUUGGCGGGGUAAAGGCCCACCAAGGCGACGAUCCGUAGCUGGUCUGAGAGGAUGAUCGGCCACACUGGAACUGAGACACCGUCCAGACUCCUACGGGACGCCGCAGUGGGGAAUAUUGGACAAUGGGCGCAAGCCUUAUCCAGCCAUCCCGCGUGUGUGGAGAAGGCCUUCGGGUUGUAAAGCCCUUUUGUUGGGAAAGAAAAGCAGCAGGUUAAUACCCCGCUGUUCUGACGGUACCCAAAGAAUAAGCACCGGCUAACUUCGUG
RNAcentral lists this ribosomal RNA (492 nucleotides) under uncultured bacterium. Its description in RNAcentral is "partial 16S ribosomal RNA". It matches the Rfam family "Bacterial small subunit ribosomal RNA", at positions 29 to 507 of the family's 1533-position model. The record is from RNAcentral.